Molecule: small RNA, 541 nt
Filed under: Arabidopsis thaliana (thale cress)
Lineage: Eukaryota; Viridiplantae; Streptophyta; Magnoliopsida; Brassicales; Brassicaceae
Description: ATSL202980
Source: RNAcentral
AAUUUAUCAUGGUAUAGUACAUGAAUGAGUCUAGAAGGAUCUUGAAUGUUGGCUUGUUUGAUGAGACCCAGCGAUGAAACCCUGGUGGAUAUAGUUGUGGAACUUAGGUAUGGAAUCUAGAAUGUUGUGUAAGCUUGUAGAGAAGUACAUGUUGGUUAGGAUUUGAUUAGACUUGUUAGGCAUAUGGACUUAGUUUGAAUGAUCAUGGCAAUAGGCUAGAGAAUGUUGGGAGUUCCUUUGUUUUCAAAACCUCUUCCACUGGUUCGGCUUUUGUGUUUUGCUUGAGGGCAAGCAAAAGGUAAGUCUGGGAGAGUUGAUAUAACCCGAUUUUCACCAAUUUGAUCUAUGUUUUAGGUAUAAGAUUUUGAGUCUUUAUGUUAUUUCUCGAGUCUUUUUAGUGCCUUUUCAGGUAUUCUAUGCAAUGGGAAAACAAUGGAGAUAAGGAGACAUUUUGGAGCAAAAGCUAAGGAAAAGGAAGCUAAGGACGAUUUUGGUUCAGGAAUCAGCGAGGAGUGUCGAUCGACACACUCUUGGUGUCAAU